AUUGAACGCUGGCGGCAUGCUUUACACAUGCAAGUCGAACGGUAACAGGGAGCUUGCUCCGCUGACGAGUGGCGAACGGGUGAGUAAUGCAUCGGAACGUACCGUGUAAUGGGGGAUAACGUAGCGAAAGUUACGCUAAUACCGCAUACGCCCUGAGGGGGAAAGUGGGGGACCGCAAGGCCUCACGUUAUACGAGCGGCUGAUGUCGGAUUAGCUAGUUGGUGGGGUAAAGGCCUACCAAGGCGACGAUCCGUAGCGGGUCUGAGAGGAUGAUCCGCCACACUGGGACUGAGACACGGCCCAGACUCCUACGGGAGGCAGCAGUGGGGAAUUUUGGACAAUGGGGGCAACCCUGAUCCGAGCCAUGCCGCGUGAGUGAAGAAGGCCUGGUUGUAAG
RNAcentral lists this ribosomal RNA (397 nucleotides) under uncultured bacterium. Its description in RNAcentral is "bacterial SSU rRNA". It matches the Rfam family "Bacterial small subunit ribosomal RNA", at positions 30 to 429 of the family's 1533-position model. The record is from RNAcentral.